AUGAGUAACGAAAAAGGAUAUUAUAUCCUCGCCUUAAGCUUAUGGUAUUUAAUUAAAAUUUCGGUGUCUAAGUAGGAAGAUAAAAGAGUAAACUGUCAUGAGUUUGAAAAACUUCUCCUAAUGGAUUUUUACGAUGAUAUAUUGAUUAGAGAAAAAAACCUUUAUAAAGUGUUAAAGGUUCUGGAAAUUAAAUCUAAUCCAAAACAUGUAGAGCGAACCCAAAUAACUCUAUUACAAAAAGAUAUAAGACCGUACCUAAAUACUAACACAAGUAAGCAAGUAGAGUAUACAAAGGCGUUUGAGCGAACAAUCCUUAAGGAACUCGGCAAAUUGCUCCGUAACUUCGGGAUAAGGAGAGCCGUUAUUAUAGAAAAAAAAAUUUUUUUUCUGUUAAAUAAGAGGAAACAUAAAAUAAUGUUGUACGACUGUUUAAUUAAAACAAAUCACUCUGCAAAGAUUAAAAAUCAAAGUAUUGAGUGUGAUGUCUGCCCAAUGUCGGUUGUAUAACUGAGAUGCUUAAUUUAAAAAGUUAAGUUUUGAAGGACACCCCGAUCAAUGGCGGUCUUAUCUAUAAGGAUCCUAAGGUAGCGGAAUACCUUGGCCGUUAAAUGCGGUCUUGCAUGAAUGACUUAACGAUACAACAGCUGUCUCGAGGAUUGGCUCAGUGAAAUU
RNAcentral lists this non-coding RNA (672 nucleotides) under Blastomyces gilchristii SLH14081. RNAcentral's name for it is "Ajellomyces dermatitidis SLH14081 Bacterial large subunit ribosomal RNA". It matches the Rfam family "Bacterial large subunit ribosomal RNA", at positions 1302 to 2043 of the family's 2925-position model. Lineage: Eukaryota; Fungi; Ascomycota; Eurotiomycetes; Onygenales; Ajellomycetaceae. The record is from Rfam by way of RNAcentral.